Molecule: non-coding RNA, 366 nt
Organism: Drosophila melanogaster (fruit fly)
Lineage: Eukaryota; Metazoa; Arthropoda; Insecta; Diptera; Drosophilidae
Source: Ensembl
AGCUAAAAAUCCCUAAAAACAAAAAGAAUGUAGAAAAUCGAACUAAAAAAACAAUUUGCUAAAGUAUCUAUGAAUUCUAAGCGCCCAGAAAAUGGCUCAAUGGCGCCGCUAAAUGGAUGAAAAAUUCAUGGAAAACCGUUUUGCGGCCACCAGACAUAGAAUGCAACCAGCAAAAAUGUAGCACGAAAAAAUGCUGCAGUUCAUGUGAGGCCGGAACGUCAGAAAGCGAAAAUGUUGAGUAAACGUGCUGCUAAAAAAACACAAAAAUUAGAAUUUAAAGGGACUUCGAGCUUGGAACUUUUGUGGAAAACGAAACAUGGAUCUGUCUGUUGAUUUAAUGGCAUCAUUGGCAUUGAUUUUUAUGCG